This 531-nucleotide long non-coding RNA is filed under the name Homo sapiens (human). RNAcentral describes it as "HSALNT0250935". Lineage: Eukaryota; Metazoa; Chordata; Mammalia; Primates; Hominidae. The record is from RNAcentral.
CAGCACUUUAAAAUGGAAGCACCAACGCUGGCAUCAGCAGAGUCCUUCAAAGAAUUUGAUUCAGUGGAGGCCAACUCAACAAAAUAGAAAGCCCCAGAUGGACAGCCAUUGGCUGCACCUGGAGCAGACAAUUGAGAGGCCUGGCUCAUGGAUGGGUUUGAACCACCUCAGGACUGAAGAUGAGCGGCUCAGUUUCACUAACAACAAGAACAGUGACAAAUUCCCUGCCCGGCCCAAGCUCUGUGGUCCUUAUGCAGCUGGAGAUCCCUAUGCCAAGCCCUCAAAGCAGCCCCGACUUUCCGUGCAAUAAAGCAGCAGUGAGAAAGGCUCAGAGUAAUUAAGUGGCUGACGCACAGAAGAAGCCGUUACAAAGAAUUGACUAAAUUGCCCAUUCAUUAGCAGCUCGGCAUGGAAGGAGAAUUACAAAUAGACGGCGGAGCCCGCAGUAAUUCAAUCUAACCUUGUACUUACAGAAAACAAUGAGAUAAUGAACAGAAAAAUUACCAGGCACAUAUUGUAUUUUGUUAAAGG